Molecule: long non-coding RNA, 727 nt
Filed under: Phasianus colchicus (ring-necked pheasant)
Lineage: Eukaryota; Metazoa; Chordata; Aves; Galliformes; Phasianidae
Description: lncRNA (ENSPCLG00000022327.1)
Source: RNAcentral
UCAUGGCUUCCUUCUUCCCCCGGAGAGCAAUGAGUCUGUUUCCCUUUUUCAAUAACAGCUUUAUUACAGCAUGUUAAAGGGAAACAAGAAGAUGAACAGACCAGGCCUGGCUGUGCAGCGAUCAUUCUUCUGAGAAGCCUGUGUGAGGAGAUGCUGGUCUGGGAGUCAAUCUGAGGAAAAGCAGAAGAUAUUUGCUUUAUAUCCGAAGUAUUAUUCAAGGGAGUUCACUCCAGAAGACAAGAGAACUGUUGGUACAUGAUGAAUAUAAAGCUCUAAGACUUGGUGCUGAAAGAUACUUCUCUCAGAAGUGUGCAUUUAUUGUUUGAUACCUUUGGUGAUACGUGCUGCUUCACCUACCAUCUCUCUGGGCAUCAGCCAGCCCUGUGUUUCAGGCUGUACCGGAUGGCAGUACUUCUUUGUUUUUGUAAUGUAUGUCUCCUUUACUGAGAAAGAAGAUGGAAGAUUGGCUUUGACAUUGUGUUGCUGCACUGUAAAUUUUACUAUUAGAGUAAAGUGCAAAGGUACCCUAAAUCCAUGUGAUGGCUCACACCAGACCUCUGUCAGGAGCUCUUUGAUUAGAUUUCCUAGGAAGUCAAAACACUGCACCAAAAUGGUAGCAAGAAGGACUGUGCAGUGCUGGAAGAUCUCAUCCUGCCUGCUCACAGUGCUGACUGUGCUUCUGCUUUUUGAGAAGAAAGGGAAAGAAAGAUGGAGAAAGAGGAGAUGA